Rosa chinensis is the source of this 704-nucleotide long non-coding RNA. RefSeq lists it as uncharacterized. The record is from RefSeq and is a predicted model, not a curated record. Lineage: Eukaryota; Viridiplantae; Streptophyta; Magnoliopsida; Rosales; Rosaceae. The transcript has 7 exons.
UCUAAGGGAGAGGAGAUCAUAAACGAGAGAGAAGGAGAGAGACGAGUUUGUUUGAAGUUAAAAGGCAAGAACAUGGUGUUGGAUUCAGUUUCUUUUUGUUGAAGCUUGUAGGAGAAACAUCAAGUUCAAUGGUUCAGUUGCAUGUUCAAAGGUUGCUCCAUUGCAACCUGAAAGUCCCGGGUUUGAAGGGGGAGAUAGCCUCUCCUAGAUGGGGUCAACAGUCUCUAGGCUCUGCAAUGGCUGGAUUCCCAUGCAUAUUGGGCUGUCUGUAAAAUAGACGAGAAGGCAAUCAAUGAGGUAUUUCUGAAAGUCCUGGAUAAUUAGAUCAAAUGGUGCAUAUACCUGCGGAUCUGGCUUCACAAGCAAUUAAUCGGGACAUAAACUUUUUCUGGUGUCAUUGUACUUUCUGAUAUGGGGUGAGGCUGCAAAUGUCCACUUUCUUCCUGAAUGCAUUUGCUACAUGUUUGACCAUAUGGCGAAGGAGUUAGAUGCUAUUCCUGCUGCUGGCUGCACAAUAGAAAAUGAUUCUGUGUCCUUCCUCAAGCAGAUUGUUUAUCCUAUGUAUGAAACAUUGGCAGCGGAAGCUGCUAGAAACAAUAAUGGGAAAGCUGCGCAUUUCAGUGUGGCGGAAUUAUGACGACUUCAAUGAAUACUUUUGCUUUGUUUGCUUGUCAUUCAAUUAUGGAUGAACAAUGUGAUUCCUU